ACAAUGGCGUCGGUAAAGACGUGAUGUUGACUGCUGUAAACAGACGUGUAUUAAGAUUUACGAUUUAAACAGCCUUGUACAUUGCUCCUGAGGUUGGGUUUAACUAUUCUGAGGCUAUAUGACUUGCAUAAGGAGAUUGUGGUGUGAGUUCUUGCUUGAAGACUCAG
Molecule: non-coding RNA, 167 nt
Organism: Danio rerio (zebrafish)
Lineage: Eukaryota; Metazoa; Chordata; Actinopteri; Cypriniformes; Danionidae
Source: Ensembl